UACGGAGGGGGCUAGCGUUGUUCGGAAUUACUGGGCGUAAAGCGCACGUAGGCGGCUUUGUAAGUUAGAGGUGAAAGCCCAGGGCUCAACCCUGGAAUUGCCUUUAAGACUGCAUCGCUUGAACAUCGGAGAGGUAAGUGGAAUUCCGAGUGUAGAGGUGAAAUUCGUAGAUAUUCAGAAGAACACCAGUGGCGAAGGCGACUUACUGGACGAUUGUUGACGCUGAGGUGCGAAAGCGUGGGGAGCAAACAGG
RNAcentral lists this ribosomal RNA (253 nucleotides) under uncultured bacterium. RNAcentral's name for it is "partial 16S ribosomal RNA". It matches the Rfam family "Bacterial small subunit ribosomal RNA", at positions 524 to 776 of the family's 1533-position model. The record is from RNAcentral.